This 254-nucleotide ribosomal RNA is filed under the name uncultured bacterium. RNAcentral describes it as "partial 16S ribosomal RNA". It matches the Rfam family "Bacterial small subunit ribosomal RNA", at positions 524 to 776 of the family's 1533-position model. The record is from RNAcentral.
UACGUAGGGGGCGAGCGUUAUUCGGAUUUACUGGGCGUAAAGGGCGCGUAGGCGGUCAGCACAAGUCAGUUGUGAAAUCUCCGGGCUUAACUCGGAAAGGUCAACUGAUACUGUGCGACUAGAGUGCGGAAGAGGAGAGUGGAAUUCCUGGUGUAGCGGUGAAAUGCGCAGAUAUCAGGAAGAACACCCGUGGCGAAGGCGGCUCUCUGGGACGGUACUGACGCUGAGACGCGAAAGCGUGGGGAGCGAACAGG